Molecule: small nuclear RNA, 106 nt
Organism: Microcebus murinus (gray mouse lemur)
Lineage: Eukaryota; Metazoa; Chordata; Mammalia; Primates; Cheirogaleidae
Source: Ensembl
GUACUUGCUUCAGCAGCACAAAUACUAAAAUUAGAACAAAACAGAAAAGAUUAGCAUGGCCCUUGUACAAGGAUGACAUCCAAUUUGUGAAGCAUUUCAUAUUUUU